RNAcentral lists this ribosomal RNA (451 nucleotides) under Veillonella parvula. Its description in RNAcentral is "bacterial SSU rRNA". It matches the Rfam family "Bacterial small subunit ribosomal RNA", at positions 28 to 456 of the family's 1533-position model. Lineage: Bacteria; Bacillati; Bacillota; Negativicutes; Veillonellales; Veillonellaceae. The record is from RNAcentral.
GACGAACGCUGGCGGCGUGCUUAACACAUGCAAGUCGAACGAAGAGCGACGGAAGCUUGCUUCUAUCAAUCUUAGUGGCGAACGGGUGAGUAACGCGUAAUCAACCUGCCCUUCAGAGGGGGACAACAGUUGGAAACGACUGCUAAUACCGCAUACGAUCUAAUCUCGGCAUCGAGGAUAGAUGAAAGGUGGCCUCUACAUGUAAGCUAUCACUGAAGGAGGGGAUUGCGUCUGAUUAGCUAGUUGGAGGGGUAACGGCCCACCAAGGCGAUGAUCAGUAGCCGGUCUGAGAGGAUGAACGGCCACAUUGGGACUGAGACACGGCCCAGACUCCUACGGGAGGCAGCAGUGGGGAAUCUUCCGCAAUGGACGAAAGUCUGACGGAGCAACGCCGCGUGAGUGAUGACGGCCUUCGGGUUGUAAAGCUCUGUUAAUCGGGACGAAAGGCCUU